This 1513-nucleotide long non-coding RNA is filed under the name Musa acuminata (dwarf banana). Its description in RNAcentral is "long non-coding RNA (MACU_LNC010945)". Lineage: Eukaryota; Viridiplantae; Streptophyta; Magnoliopsida; Zingiberales; Musaceae. The record is from RNAcentral.
AGUAGUAGCUUGUCUCUCCUGUUCGAUGGUUUGAUACCUGCAUUCUUCUCCUAUAACUCAUACCUUCCUUCUGACUUGCUGAAUGAGGAUCUGACUUGACUACUAUACUGGUUGGGUCAAGAACUUGACUUUCAUAGCUUCCCGAAACAACCAAUAAGGGCCUCUAUACUUCCUCUUUGAACUCUGGCUUAGCUCCCCACUUGAGAAUAACUGAUGAAACAGGACCACUACUUGUAAACUUCUGACUAAACUAGGGAUGAAACUCGGCAACUACUGAUUCCACUGGAGCACUACUAGUUUGGGAUUCCACUAGAAAAGAAAGAGCAGAGCCUGCAGUGAGCUUACUGGACUACCGGUCUUCAACUCAAACCUGGGAAUCUUCUCCGACUUAAUAUAGGGCGGUGGGAAAAAGAGAGAAGACUGUGACUGCUGAGUUUGAUUCUUACUGGUUGUCUCUUACUGGACUACUAUACAACUAGUUUCAGGGUAAACCAGGCAAUCAACGUAUGUAUACAAAGGCAAAAAACCCAAGAACAGGAACAGGGGAUUCCACUCCUAAUUAAGGGGAUGAAACUAACUACUACUAUACUAGAUCUUAUUCUUAUGUACUAGAUGCUUAGUACUAGAUGCGCUUUGACUACUGAGUUCAAUUAAGACUAGUUGCAUUCCGACUCCCCUUCCCGCUUCAGAAUCACCUAUUUGUUUUACCAGUAGAGGCGGGCAAGGUAUACAAUAAGUCUUUACUUGAUGUUAAGGGUUUCAUCCGUUCACCUAUAUAAAGAGAAGAUCCAAGCCACUCAAAAGGAGGAAUGGAAUUGUUAUGCCUAUGGUCUCAUAUCCCGCGCUAAAGAGCACAAGAUACCAUCUGAUUCGGGAGUAAAGCCAAGUAUGCAACCCCCACUCCUUUGGAAAGCCAACCAACAACUUCCUUUUGCACUCGACUUUCAAUUGCAUCUGCUCUCGGAGACAAAACCAGAACUCAACCUUUCCUGGACCACACCUUACCUGACUUAAAAACUGGAACUCUUAUUGAACCUAGGUCUUAAACUCUCACUCGACCAGGAACAGGAGAAGGAUCGGCUCCUAUUAACUUCAUGAGGCUAAUCUACUUAAGUACAGAGCCAUAAAAGUCUUAGUUUCUGGACUACUAUACUGGCUGGGGAUGAAACUAACUAAUACAGAUGAAACUGGGGAUGAAACAACUAAAGUCAGUCUUUCACUUCCACUUCUGAAGCUCGGGAUGAAACUAGAGCACCGAACUAUACUCUGGCUCGUCAACUAACAUAGAUUGAAGUCUAACUCUUUAUUACACGUGCCUCUCCUUACUUAACUAGCUCUAGCUCAUGACCUAUCCUUAUUUCGGGAACAAGCCCCUAAUCAAGGUAAAGAACUGGCCGAGUGUAUUCGGCUUAUGGAACAAGACUUUCAUUUCGAACUGUUGCUGAGCUGCUAUAAACUCAAUUUGUUACUGGGUUCGUUGGGUCCUUAGCCUAGCCUAGGUAAGAUGUGGCAG